Cavia porcellus (domestic guinea pig) is the source of this 2242-nucleotide long non-coding RNA. RefSeq lists it as uncharacterized. The record is from RefSeq and is a predicted model, not a curated record. Lineage: Eukaryota; Metazoa; Chordata; Mammalia; Rodentia; Caviidae. The transcript is spliced from 3 exons.
GGAGCAAGGGAGUCGUGCACCGACACACGCACGCUACGGGGGCGGGGAGGGUGCUGCAUAACUCUGCGUGUCCCUAAUCUUGGAGCCAAAAGUUUUGCCUGCCUUGGAGAGCCGGAGGAGGUAUCACCUGAAACCUAGCAGGUACCAGGAUAUUAGAAGGAAAAUGCAACAAACAAGGCCUUCACUUAUGAAGUUGACAGUCCAGUGGGAGACACACAGCUACCUUCCCAUUAUUUGGUCUUCAAUUGAAUACGUGAUAAUUUAAGCCCAACUGUAUUUUUUCAAAAUCCAACCUAAGAAAAUUACAGGCCAAUCUUAGGAGAAGUAAUGUGGCAAUAUUCUAUUAAAAUGUCUUUAAUAUGAUUCAUAACUUGCUUAUAUUAGCAUUCUAAGAUUAUCAUGUAAUUUAAAUCAUAUUAUUUUCAAAUUCUCUACAGAAGUUGCAAACUACUGAGAAUAUAUCCAUGCCUUCUAAAAUCCUCAAAUACCACUUUGCAAGACAAUAUACUAGAUGAUUUGGUGCUUUUGGUUAUGUAUGUUUUGUAAAAUUCCUUAGCAUAAAUCUCUAAUUCCCAAAAUAUGUUCCAUAGAAUUAAUGUUAACAAGCAUUUCGUGAGACAUGGAAAAAAUUUUUGGUAAGCUUUGAAUUAGAAAAAGUUAACUAUUUUCAAUGUGGGAAUGCUAAGACCCUUUAAUAUGCCAGCACACAAUUUGACCCAUGGAACAUUUGUCUUUUUCUCAUCUUCAGAGUAUUUAAAGAACUAAUAUUUAAGUAUGUGCUUAUAGCUGUUCAAAUAAAUAUACCCAGGAGAAGUUGAAAUAAUCAAGUAUUUUACUGUCAAGCCUAUUUUUAGAAUCAUUUAUCAGUCAUCAUCUACAUAGAAAAUAAAAGAAUCAUUAGGUAUAUGGUACUAUUUUUCAGUGCUUUGUGUAUUGCUUCAUUAAUAAUACAGGUUCAAUAAAUAUUUGUUCAAUUAAUUGAAAAUAUUCCAUGAAUAGCAGUUUCUUCUACUUUCAUUUCAUGAUCUAUAUACAGGAAACAGCUUCUGGAGAAAAGACUGACUAUAGUCACAAAACUAUUUUUAUAUAGCUUUCCUAUGUAACCAAUAAUUACCUUGGGGUACCAUGAAGCAAUUUGUUUAGAAUGUGUACCAUCCAUAUAGGUGCUAGCCACACGUCUAUUUAUGUUAUUUAAAAUAAAAUAAUUUAAUUCCUACGUGGCACCAGCCACAGAUCAGGUGCUCACUAGUUAUGUGUGAACAAUUUAUAGAUUACAGAACAUUUAUUUCUAUCAUCACACAGCUAUAUUCGAUGAUUUAUAUAAAUUUAUCCUCCAAACAACUGACAAAGUAAAGAUAAAAACUACAGACAGUAUAAAACCAUCACCUAUCAGCUAUUUGUCUACCUAAAUUUGACAAGCUCUUUUAUUGUGGUAAAGACAGAAUAAAUGUAACACAAGAAGUCCCAUGGUUUGGUUUGGUUUGGUUUGGUUUGGUUUUGCUUUGUUUUAGAAAAAAGCUUGCAUUGUAGCAUUUGAGGCCCUCAGACUUGGCAUUAGUCUCUUCCAGAAGAACACACCAAGUUCAGAAGGCAAUUUGGAUUCUCUAUCAUGGAAAAGUGGCCUCUAGAAAGCCUACAGAUGAAUAUUACCCAGGUAAUAGCAGCUGGCUUGGUUACUGAAAACAAGCUGUAAUACAUUUUUAGUCUCUCCUAACAGCAUCAAUGAAUUGAAAAGAUAAGACAGGUAUUGGCAGGCCAAAAUCAAAGCGUGGGACUCCAAGGAAUAUGCACAGCAAGAAGGCCACUCCUGAAUGGAAAUUAUUUGCUGAUUUAGGAAAAUUGAAGUUUUGUUUGGACAGAUUUUUCAUACAGAACAAAUGUAAAACUAUAGGCUCUGAUUCACUUUAUAGUCAUAGGCCUCAAAUUUAAAUGAUGGGACCCCAAAGUACAGCACAUUUAGCAUUAGGGUUAUCAGAAGUAAAAUUCUCUUCUAUAUAAGGGAAGUAAAAAAACAGUGGGAAAUUAAAAAUCUGAGAAUCAGAAGCUGUGAAAAUGUAGCCAGCAGCUGGCCCUCAGGUAAAUUGGCAUCCAAAAUUCAUUCCACCUCAGCACAUCCUAAAAUUCCAUGUCUCUAGUUUUUGUGAAGUGAUCUUAUGCUAAUGAGAGUCCAAAAUGCCCGUGAAACAGACCCGUCUAAUAGUUUUUUCCUAGUUUUUUACAAAUAUCUAACCCACUUCUAAUA